Molecule: long non-coding RNA, 232 nt
Organism: Melanotaenia boesemani (Boeseman's rainbowfish)
Lineage: Eukaryota; Metazoa; Chordata; Actinopteri; Atheriniformes; Melanotaeniidae
Exons: 3
Source: RefSeq, a predicted model, not a curated record
GAUUUGCUGGAAGGGAACAACAGGCAAGCUCUCAUUUAAGCAGAUGGAAGCAACAGCAACAAUGAUCCGCUGUGCUGUACGCAAAAACCAUGUGGCAAAGCAAGCAACAGAUGUCGACAUUGACAAACAUAUCAUGAAGUGGUUCCAUUUGGGCUCAGACAACACCCGCAGGGGAAGUCGCCAGAGUCGAGCACAGGCUCCGAACAUAGAGGCUGAGGAUGACUGAGGAUAG